This 274-nucleotide ribosomal RNA is filed under the name uncultured bacterium. RNAcentral's name for it is "partial 16S ribosomal RNA". It matches the Rfam family "Bacterial small subunit ribosomal RNA", at positions 523 to 796 of the family's 1533-position model. The record is from RNAcentral.
AUACGUAGGGUGCAAGCGUUAAUCGGAAUUACUGGGCGUAAAGCGCGCGUAGGCGGUUUGAUCAGUCGGAUGUGAAAGCCUUGGGCGCAACCUGGGAACUGCAUUCGAUACUGUCAGACUAGAAUAUGGUAGAGGGUAGUGGAAUUCCUGGUGUAGCGGUGAAAUGCGUAGAUAUCAGGAGGAACAUCAGUGGCGAAGGCGGCUACCUGGACCAAUAUUGACGCUGAGGUGCGAAAGCGUGGGGAGCAAACAGGAUUAGAAACCCUUGUAGUCC